RNAcentral lists this ribosomal RNA (599 nucleotides) under Francisella-like endosymbiont of Dermacentor albipictus. RNAcentral's name for it is "bacterial SSU rRNA". It matches the Rfam family "Bacterial small subunit ribosomal RNA", at positions 336 to 922 of the family's 1533-position model. Lineage: Bacteria; Pseudomonadati; Pseudomonadota; Gammaproteobacteria; Thiotrichales; Francisellaceae. The record is from RNAcentral.
CUCCUACGGGAGGCAGCAGUGAGGAAUAUUGGACAAUGGGGGCAACCCUGAUCCAUCAAUGCCAUGUGUGUGAAGAAGGCCUUAGGGUUGUAAAGCACUUUACUUGGGGAAGAAAGCUUUGAGGUUAAUAGCCUUGAAGAAAAGGACGUUACCCAAAGAAUAAGCACCGGCUAACUCCGUGCCAGCAGCCGCGGUAAUACGGGGGGUGCAAGCGUUAAUCGGAAUUACUGGGCGUAAAGGGUCUGUAGGUGGUUUGUUAAGUCAGAUGUGAAAGCCUAGGGCUCAACCUUGGAACUGCAUUUGAUACUGGUAAACUAGAGUACGGUAGAGGAAUAGGGAAUUUCUGGUGUAGCGGUGAAAUGCGUAGAGAUCAGAAGGAACACCAAUGGCGAAGGCAACAUUCUGGACCGAUACUGACACUGAGGGACGAAAGCGUGGGGAUCAAACAGGAUUAGAUACCCUGGUAGUCCACGCUGUAAACGAUGAGUACUAGCUGUUGGAGUCGGUGUAAAGGCUCUAGUGGCGCAGCUAACGCGAUAAGUACUCCGCCUGGGGAUUACGGCCGCAAGGCUAAAACUCAAAGGAAUUGACGGGGACCC